AGUGAACGCUGGCGGUAGGCCUAACACAUGCAAGUCGAACGGCAGCACAGUAAGAGCUUGCUCUUACGGGUGGCGAGUGGCGGACGGGUGAGGAAUACAUCGGAAUCUACUUUUUCGUGGGGGAUAACGUAGGGAAACUUACGCUAAUACCGCAUACGACCUACGGGUGAAAGCAGGGGAUCUUCGGACCUUGCGCGAUUGAAUGAGCCGAUGUCGGAUUGGCUAGUUGGCGGGGUAAAGGCCAACCAGGGCGACGAUCCGUAGCUGGUCUGAGAGGAUGAUGAGCCCCAGAGGAGCUGAGAGACGGGCCGGAGUCUUAGGGAAGGCAGAGGUGGGGAAUAUUGGAAGAGGGGGGCAAUCUUGAACCAGCCAUAGCGGGUGGGUGAAGAAGGCCUGCGGGUGGUAAAGCCCUUUUGUGGGGAAAAAAAAGCAGCACGUUAAAACCCCGCUGUUCUACGGUUACCCAAAGAAUAGACACCGGUAAACUUGUG
This 491-nucleotide ribosomal RNA is filed under the name uncultured bacterium. RNAcentral's name for it is "partial 16S ribosomal RNA". It matches the Rfam family "Bacterial small subunit ribosomal RNA", at positions 30 to 507 of the family's 1533-position model. The record is from RNAcentral.